GCACCUGUAGCUCAGUGGAUAGAGCGUUACCCUCCGAAGGUGAAGGUCGGGCGUUCGAAUCGCCCCAGGUGUACCA
This 76-nucleotide transfer RNA is filed under the name Sphingobacteriia bacterium. RNAcentral's name for it is "tRNA-Arg". It matches the Rfam family "tRNA". Rfam says of the family: Transfer RNA (tRNA) molecules are approximately 80 nucleotides in length. Their secondary structure includes four short double-helical elements and three loops (D, anti-codon, and T loops). The record is from RNAcentral. Lineage: Bacteria; Pseudomonadati; Bacteroidota; Sphingobacteriia.